CGCAAUUUGUGAAUGGACUUUACGAGUCGAGAAGUGACAUUGCGAGAUUUAAGGAUAACAUAUGAGACUUCCUUGUACAAUCCAAAGAAUUCUCUCCUCAGGAUAACAAAGAUCUAUCUGUCGAAGAAGCUGCUGCUCAAUUGAGAGAGAUAUACAGAAUAUGCUUUUGAUUCCUGGUCUUAGUGCUCCAAACGAGAUUCAAGACGACAUGGCCGAUUCAUAAACUAUUUCGUAGGAUGAAUUUAUUCAAUGAAUCUUGUUUUUUAACAUCAAACGUUUCAUAUUUUAUUAAGCUAAAUCGAAUAUUUCAUAA
Molecule: long non-coding RNA, 313 nt
Organism: Brassica napus (rape)
Lineage: Eukaryota; Viridiplantae; Streptophyta; Magnoliopsida; Brassicales; Brassicaceae
Exons: 2
Source: RefSeq, a predicted model, not a curated record